Molecule: ribosomal RNA, 529 nt
Filed under: uncultured bacterium
Lineage: Bacteria
Description: bacterial SSU rRNA
Rfam family: Bacterial small subunit ribosomal RNA
Source: RNAcentral
ACUGGCGGCAUGCCUAAGACAUGCAAGUCGAACGAAGUGGCCCAACAAAAACUGAGUGCUUGCACAAAGUUGGCGAUGGAAUUUCCACUUAGUGGCAGACGGGUGAGUAACACGUAAGUAAUCUACCCUCGAGUUUGGGAUAAUGUCUGGAAACGGACACUAAUACCGGAUAAUUCAUAUUUAGAUAACUGGAUAUGCUAAAAGGAGCGUUUGCUUCGCUUGAGGAUGAGCUUGCGGCGUAUUAACUAGUUGGUGGGGUAAUGGCCUACCAAGGUGACGAUGCGUAGCCGAACUGAGAGGUUGAUCGGCCACAUUGGGACUGAGACACGGCCCAAACUCCUACGGGAGGCAGCAGUUAGGAAUAUUCGUCAAUGGGGGAAACCCUGACGGAGCAACGCCGCGUGAGUGAAGAAGGUUUUUUCCGGAUCGUAAAACUCUGUUGUCAGAGAAGAACAAGUUGGAGAGUAACUGCUCCAGCCUUGACGGUAUCUGACCAGAAAGCCACGGCUAACUACGUGCCAGCAGCUGC